GCCGAUUGUGCUCUAGAAAUGCAUGUAGAUCUGCAUAUCUCGCCGAAAGCGACGCAUGUUGGAGCUGCCCCCUGCAGAUAUGGCUAAGUAUGUGGAAGGAAGCCAGGUGCCUCUCCUUUUCUAUCCCCAAGCCUGCCUGAUCAAGUUGACUCAGGAGUCAGGAUCCAAUGCUAACAUCACAACGCACUAGCUUUCGCAAGAACUCAUCUGCUCGGGGUUCGGGCUCCCAGCUGCAAACAGAAGACCACCGGGAAAAAAAAAAGUACAGCUGGUCCUCCUCUCUAUACCAGUGCACUUGUGGGCUGUGACAGCAACAGUCUCCCACCACCAAAAGGAAAAAUCUUGUGGGGGCAUCAUUGUAC
Molecule: long non-coding RNA, 362 nt
Filed under: Setaria italica (foxtail millet)
Lineage: Eukaryota; Viridiplantae; Streptophyta; Magnoliopsida; Poales; Poaceae
Description: long non-coding RNA (SITA_LNC006600)
Source: RNAcentral